RNAcentral lists this long non-coding RNA (1364 nucleotides) under Triticum aestivum (bread wheat). RNAcentral's name for it is "long non-coding RNA (TAES_LNC021659)". Lineage: Eukaryota; Viridiplantae; Streptophyta; Magnoliopsida; Poales; Poaceae. The record is from RNAcentral.
AUGCAUGAACAUUGAUGGAAGCUACACUUCAUAAUGAAAUCUCAAUGUGAAUUCCAUAACAGAACCCAGACAACAUAAACAGUAACAAAGGAGCAAAGACUAACAAUAUUGACAUAAUCUCAGUUAAAACAGUUCAAACUCUUUGAUUUCUACGGUAUUUUGAAGCUAUACAACCUAUUGAUAACAUAAUGUAGUCAGAAAUACACUAUUAAGGUGGCAAGAGGACCAUAAACAAAUCUGAUGUACUACUCCCUUCAAAUGACUUGUUAUUUCAGUAGUACGGUCUGUACCUCACAGAACUGCUGAAAAUUCAUCUACUUGGACACUUGUUCACCCUGCCAAACAAACAAGCAAAAGAACAAGUCCAAGUUGAGAUAGAAAAGAUAAAUGAACACGAAAGAUACAAGAUUGGUUCGAAUCAAGUAGCACAUUCUUCAGAUUAUAUGUACCACUAUCUUAUAGCUCAGAUUAUAGACAAGUAAACACCAUCCCAAUCAGGCAACCAACAACCAAUCGAACAACUCAACUAUAUAUUAAUUGCUAGUGUGCACUGUAGUCGGCAGUAGAAUGCCCCAGAAUUCGAAGUAGAUGAGACUCACCUCUCUGACGAACCAACACAGCAGCUCGCACUCGGUGAUCCAUUACCCUGCCUACACCAAGGACACCUCCACCGGCUCAGUGAAGGGCUCCCUUGCCACCGGAAAGCAACAGUGCUGGAGACAAAAUCCAAGCGAUGAUAGAGAUGUGAAAAUGGGUGGCAUGUUGAGAUCGAACCAGUAUGGUAAGUGACUAUUUCAUCAGAGACAGAUGGAAAUCGUACCACCCACAACAACUUGUCACCUAACAAUGCAUAUCCAUGGACAAUUUCUGUGGGAAAAUCAAAAUAACACACACCAAAGUACCAAAGUACAAAGUGAUUAAGUGAGAAUCCUAAAUAUUCCAAUGAGAAAGAACAUAAAGGGGACCAGUACCUGAAAUAUUGUGCAAUCAUAUCCAGAGCAGGUGAAGAAACACACAACAUACUAAUGAAUCCAAACCCUUAAAACCAUAUAGAUUUUUCUUUGUGCUAAUAUUCUGCAUCUGCAAGUCCUUCACUACCAAUGGUAAUAAUUACACUUGUCAGCAUAAUAUAUAAGACAAAGAUACUAUUGUUCUCUUAAGAGAUAUAGAUAACCGAAAUAUAUGUAUAUAGGUAACAUACUUUGACGUACAAUAAAUAAGAAAAAGAUAGUAUUGUUCUCUUAAGACAAACCAUUUGAUCCCAUUGCUUCCAAGUCGCAAAUCUUUACUCGUUCUGUAGUUUUCUUGUUAGCAUUUAUGUCGUGAACAAAGCUUCUUUAUCCAACUACCAAAUCUGAAUGUUG